UGGACGGUUGAUUGAAAAAAUUACAAGACAUAAUAUGACGAAUCUCGGUGUUUGGAUUUUGAUUUGAGGAAGCUGAAAACUUAUCUGGCCAAUUCGGAUUUGAGGUUGUGAUAACUUGAUCACUUGAUCAAUAUAAGAUGUCUCCAGCCAAUUCGGAUUUGGAUUUGAGGUUGCUGAUAACUUGCUUCAUGAAGCCACUAGGAAUCUAGAAAGUUUGAUAUUUUUCUCCCAGACCCUUAGA
Molecule: long non-coding RNA, 241 nt
Filed under: Rosa chinensis
Lineage: Eukaryota; Viridiplantae; Streptophyta; Magnoliopsida; Rosales; Rosaceae
Description: sRNA RchiOBHm_Chr2g0144111
Source: RNAcentral